UCUAGUGGCGCACGGGUGCGUAACGCGUGGGAAUCUGCCUUGGGGUUCGGAAUAACUCCCCGAAAGGGGUGCUAAUACCGGAUGAUGUCGAAAGACCAAAGAUUUAUCGCCCUGAGAUGAGCCCGCGUAGGAUUAGCUAGUUGGUGUGGUAAAGGCGCACCAAGGCGACGAUCCUUAGCUGGUCUGAGAGGAUGAUCAGCCACACUGGGACUGAGACACGGCCCAGACUCCUACGGGAGGCAGCAGUGGGGAAUAUUGGACAAUGGGCGAAAGCCUGAUCCAGCAAUGCCGCGUGAGUGAUGAAGGCCUUAGGGUUGUAAAGCUCUUUUACCCGGGAAGAUAAUGACUGUACCGGGAGAAUAAGCCCCGGCUAACUCCGUGCCAGCAGCCGCGGUAAUACGGAGGGGGCUAGCGUUGUUCGGAAUUACUGGGCGUAAAGCGCACGUAGGCGG
Molecule: ribosomal RNA, 452 nt
Filed under: uncultured Sphingomonas sp.
Lineage: Bacteria; Pseudomonadati; Pseudomonadota; Alphaproteobacteria; Sphingomonadales; Sphingomonadaceae
Description: bacterial SSU rRNA
Rfam family: Bacterial small subunit ribosomal RNA
Source: RNAcentral